Molecule: ribosomal RNA, 480 nt
Filed under: uncultured bacterium
Lineage: Bacteria
Description: partial 16S ribosomal RNA
Rfam family: Bacterial small subunit ribosomal RNA
Source: RNAcentral
GACGAACGCUGGCGGCGUGCUUAACACAUGCAAGUCGAGCGGAAAGGCCACUUCGGUGGUACUCGAGCGGCGAACGGGUGAGUAACACGUGAGUAAUCUGCCCUUGGCUUUGGGAUAGCCACCGGAAACGGUGAUUAAUACCGGAUACGACCACUUCUCGCAUGGGAUGGUGGUGGCAAGUUUUUCGGCCAGGGAUGUGCUCGCGGCCUAUCAGCUUGAUGGUGAGGUAAUGGCUCACCAUGGCUUCGACGGGUAGCCGGCCUGAGAGGGUGACCGGUCACACUGGGACUGAGACACGGCCCAGACUCCUACGGGAGGCAGCAGUGGGGAAUAUUGGACAAUGGGCGGAAGCCUGAUCCAGCAACGCCGCGUGAGGGAUGACGGCCUUCGGGUUGUAAACCUCUUUCGGUGGGGACGAAGCGCAAGUGACGGUACCCACUAAAGAAGCACCGGCCAACUACGUGCCAGCCGCCGCCGUAA